This is a long non-coding RNA of Melitaea cinxia (Glanville fritillary), 1015 nucleotides long. RefSeq lists it as uncharacterized. The transcript is spliced from 2 exons. The record is from RefSeq and is a predicted model, not a curated record. Lineage: Eukaryota; Metazoa; Arthropoda; Insecta; Lepidoptera; Nymphalidae.
UGUCGGCGCGAGACACUCUCCGAUGUCAAAAACCGGUUUCUACGAGUUGCUUCUACUUUAUUAUUGUACUAAAGCCGCGUUAGGUUCAUGUUUAAACGUGUUUAUACGAAUUGAUUACGUCAGCGCGAGGCUCGCGAGCGCAUUACCAUAUAUGGUUCGAAAACGCUUUAUAGGCCUAAUAUGAAACUAUUACCAUAUAUAGUUCGAUACAGCGAGCUACGACAGUCGGGCGCUUUAAAUACGGUGCGACGAUCGCGCUGGCAAUUAUUCUUAAUCGAGUUGUCAGAUUAAUAACAUUACUAAUGUUUGUAACUAAGUAUUAAUGUUAGAAUUUCUAGUCACUGAAAUAUUGUUAUCAAGUGUUCGUUUAAGUUCUUGAUAAAGGUGUAAAAUUAAAGUGAUUGUUUUGUAUCGAAAAUAGUUUUAUUAUGCAACAAACUACCACGAAGUAUAGCAUGAACAUUAUUAUAUUGAAGAUAGUUUUAUUAAGAAGCCUACGUUGGAGACUCUUUUCCGAUAUCAGAAGUUGGAUGAUAAAUCGGCUACCUACUAUUCCGAUUUGAUCCACCUCCUCGUCAGCUCGAAGUUUUCCUGAUGUUUUGUGUAUUGAAGUCGUAUUCAAUUAUUAAAAGAUGAACUGCAGAAAUUUAUCUAACUGAUUAUGGUUGAGGCUGAAGGUCACCGCUCAAUUACCGUGCCGAUAAGUAAUACCUACGUUUUAUUUGAUUUAACAGAAAUUACGGAAGGGUCGUAACGCUUGUGUAGUUAAUGUGAAGAAUCAAAAGUGAGUUCACAAUAUUCUUAUCCACACAAUAACGUCGCAGUGAUGAAAUUAUGUUAAAACACAGACAAGGAGCAAUAUUAUAUAAGCCGCAAGACUGCUUUGUAUCUGGAAUAAAAUGUUAAUAAAUUAACAAGAACACCAUGCUAGUGAGGAUACAAAAAAAAAAAAAAAAAAAAAAACGAGCCACAUUAAAUCUCGACUAAUCAACACUGUAAAACAGGUGAGAUAGUU